UUCCUAAUUAAGUGGAGUAAUUAUAGGAGAUUAUUAUAUAUAAAUAUGUAAUCUUUUAUUAUAUAGAAUAAUGAGAAUAAAGAUGUCGUCUUUUGAGUUCUUUCCUUGCUCUUCCUUCUUUCUCUUUCUCUUUCUCUGUCUUUCUCUUCUUAAUCUUAAAAAUUAAGAGACUUCAUUUAACAUUUUUAGAAGCUGAGGCCUACAUUAGGAAAAUGCUACAAGUUUGAGGCUAAAUCCAAAGAAUUCCUUAACAAGAAUGUAUAGUAGUAAAUGUUGAACCUAAACAUGUUUACCUCAAUAUGACUUAAAGCAUAACUAAAGGCUUAAAAUAUGGUUAAAGAAAAAUUUUCCUUCCCCAUGCUGUCAAGUUCAAUACAGAUAUGGAAGGGAUUCAGCCUUCAACAUAAUUAGGAAAAUAAAAAAUGGCGCAGAAGAAAUGGAAACAAUAUAUUAGGUUCUGAAAGACCUACAUAGUGCAGAACAAAAAAAAAGGUAUAGUUCUAAUAUUGAAAGCUAUCAAAGAUCAACCUUUUUUAAUACAUGAAAGCAUAUAUUAAAGGUGAAUGAUAUAGGAAAUGAUGUGAUUUAAUAAAUGUUGAAAAACUGCAUGAAACCAAAUGCAAAAUUUUUCCACCAAAUGUUGAAAAAAACAUGUAUUAAGAAUCAUUUUACAUACUUGAGCCUGGAAGACACAGGGUUUACUGUUGUGCCAGCAACCACAUAAUAUGAUUGCUAAAUUGAACUAUAUAUUAUUAAUCCAUACGAUAUAUUUUCUAGUGUAAAUAAAUCUGCAAGUUCAGACAUCCAUCAAUAUCUUAUCUAUGCUCCAAAUUUAUCACAUCACAUCCUAUAUAUCAAUUAAUGGCUUAUCACUGCAGUAACAUUACAUUUCAACAACAUUUCAUGUCAAAUGAAUUGCUUUAUUGGCCAUUAAAAUUGUCUCUUGAUCAAUGAGAUGAUAUGAAAUUAUGAAUUAUUAAAAGACUUCAUACAUGGUGUAGCAAGGUGGUAUACUAUGUCAUUUAAAUGGUCUAUUAGUCAAUCAGAUGAAAUGAAUCAUUAAAAGACUUCAUGCAUAGAUUAGCAAAGUGUUAUACACAUAUCCUUGCACCCUUAGCAAGCCUAAUUGAUACAAAAAGCAAAUAUUCAAUUGUUUAAAAUUCAAAAUAAUAUAGUAGAUGAAAGAUUUACAGGCCUGAUGGAUGACUUCUAGGAGGAAGACUUUGUUUUUGCAUGUCAUGUCCAGCAAAUGCCUGCAAAUAAACAAAAUCUCAUUCAUUUGUAAUCUUCACAACAACCGCUAAAUAUUUAGCUUUAAAACUAGAAGGCACUUUCCCAUACAAAUUCAAAUGUAGUUUAGACAAACCUCUUCACCCCUCACUUGUGAUGCAUGUGAGACUAAACUUGUGGAAGUAGACACUGUUGGACUAUGAGAAAAUGGAUUCUGAAUUAAUCGCAGUUUAUCAAGUUUUACCAAAUCACUUUCCUUGGCAAAUCCUAAAGGUCGAUUAUUUAGAUGUGCUGUGGUGCUAUCUUCCUCCAUCAGCCAGCCUCCCUGUGGCUGUAUAGAGGAUGAUGGCAUUGGCGCAGGUACCAAGGAUGAUGGUAUUGGCACAGGUACCCUAGACAGAAGUGAUGGCUGACCUGAAUUUUGAUUUCUUAAAUCUCGUCUCACAGGUGCUCCAAGCAAACUAGGUUUCUGUGAAGGAAUGAGUGUUGUCAAAGACAUUGGUCCAGCGACAUUAGGAAUUAUUGCAAUAGGUGACUGGGAGAUUUCAGAUCUCAACUCAAGACUAUUUGUCAUACAAUGGCCAGUUGGGUUAAUAACAUUCUUCUCAUCCUGAUAAAUAUAAGAAUUAAGGACAGCAGAACAAAUAUAGCAAGUGUCCAGUCCAUGCAAAAAAAUAACAGGAGCAGAAAAUAUAUUAUUUAUAAGCACGGAUGUUAUAUUAUUCUCUGCCAAUUUGUUAGAAACCAAAAUGGAGUGCAGUUGAAGCCCUUUUAUUACUCAAACAAGCCAAAUAAGCAUUUGUCCUGAUUAAUUAGAAUCAAGGAAGAGAACUAACCAAUGGGUUCAAUCUCUGUUCAACUUCAACACCACUCAUGCCUUCAUUAAUGGGAGCGUUAUUAAAACCGUUGGGUACAAAACCGGCAUCCUCUGACAUCAUGUAGUUGCUCACAUCAGGAGCAUGAGGUAAAUUACUAGCAUCAUCUUCAUAAAAGACUUCAGAGAUUCUUCGUAUUAAAUUCUCAUCAAAUUCUUUGAAAAAACAACCCCUGACGUUGCAAGCAACAUUUCUCGCCACACAGAGGAUAGGAACGGCAUUUGCUGUCUCUGCCUGAGGAGCGUAGUAAGGUGUGAAUGCAGGAACUACAUGAACUCGUGGUUGAUCCUUGUCUUCCCAGACCUUUGACCGAUCAUCAAUUACCAUUGCCAUCUUUGGAUGGCACAUGCCAUCUUGGAAGACAUUAGACAAAGAUUUCCUGGAGCCUGAUCUAACACAAACAACACGGUCCGGCAGUUGUUUAGCAGAUAUCAGGUGUGACUCUGGGUCAAGAAGCCUCCACAUUUCUAAGGCAUAAUCUCUUUCAGCCAUUGUACAAACAUAAACUUCAAAUCGUUUGCGUCCUUUUGCAGUUAAAUAACUUCGUAAAUCCUCCCAUGCAGGCCUCAACCUCACAAGUACACUAGUAUCACGAAUCUCAGGAUUGAUACGAGUGAGGACAAUAUUCCUAUCUUGCAAUCUAAUCACAGGCCUAACAAGUCUCUCGUGUGUUUCAGAGAGUAGUGUAACCUCCUCUAGUUGAACCUUAAACAUUUUUCCAUUAUCCAUAACAUAAUCGCUGUCAGUGUAUUGCUUCAAUAGCAUUCGAUCCUCCAUAUACCGCUUCAACUCAGCAGACAUUCCAGAUAGCCUCAGUGGAUCAGUCUCGCGUGCAAUCCAAGUCCUAAGAGUCUCAAUUCUAUCCUCAAAUGACUUCAUAGUGUUAGCGACUAUAAGGGUCUCAUCAAGGUCAAACACAAUAGCUAGACACCGCAAAUUGAGCAUGCCCAAGCACGAAUCAAAAAGACCUACAGGAACUGGAAAGCACCAAAAGCACGGAAACUUCUUCAGCUUACUCGGCAUUGCCACUAAGUGUAUCUCCUCAUCUCCAAUCAAAACCACUGCCGUCUUGAAUUCAUGGAAGCAAACAGCGUGAAGGUUGAUCAAAUGGGACUGCUCGUGUGGAGAAGAAGAUUCAAGCUUAAAGCGAACGGAAAACGAAGAAAUAGUUUGCAGAAUUGAAAGAGGAGGGCAACGCCCACUUUGCGAGAUGCGGUGGAUUCGUAUCUCGUUGUUUGGGAACUGGAAAGUCUUGUCUGUCACCGGAAUAGCGUCCAGUUCUCCCAAACAAAGGUCACCGUGAUAGACCACGGAUUUAAACCCUAAACGACUCAUUGGAAACCGCUUCUGAUAAGAGAAAUGGAAGAGAGAAUGCUAGAAGAUGAACAGAAGAGACAAUGCGAUGAAAUUUUCUAGCGAGUUGAACGAAAUAGGCUUCUUUUUUUCUUUUAAUUUCUCUCUAUUUAUCACUUAUUCUCUCACUCUAAUGCCUGCUUCUUAGGCCUCAGUGUCUCUCUCUUUUUCUCUCUCACCAUCCCCUCCCUCU
Molecule: unclassified non-coding RNA, 3651 nt
Filed under: Hevea brasiliensis (rubber tree)
Lineage: Eukaryota; Viridiplantae; Streptophyta; Magnoliopsida; Malpighiales; Euphorbiaceae
Source: RNAcentral